Molecule: small nuclear RNA, 150 nt
Filed under: Pogona vitticeps (central bearded dragon)
Lineage: Eukaryota; Metazoa; Chordata; Lepidosauria; Squamata; Agamidae
Description: U1 spliceosomal RNA (ENSPVIG00000018474.1)
Rfam family: U1 spliceosomal RNA
About the family: U1 is a small nuclear RNA (snRNA) component of the spliceosome (involved in pre-mRNA splicing). Its 5' end forms complementary base pairs with the 5' splice junction, thus defining the 5' donor site of an intron. There are significant differences in sequence and secondary structure between metazoan and yeast U1 snRNAs, the latter being much longer (568 nucleotides as compared to 164 nucleotides in human).
Source: Rfam by way of RNAcentral
GCUCAUACCUUGCAGGAGAAAUACCAUGUCAUAAAAGUGGUUUUCCCAGGGGGAGGUUUAUUGCACUUUGGGUGUGCUGCUGAUCCCUAUGAUUUCCCCAAAUGUGGGGAACUCAACUGUAUAAUUUAUGUUAAUAGGGGAUUACCCUUG